Molecule: non-coding RNA, 4152 nt
Organism: Malus domestica (apple)
Lineage: Eukaryota; Viridiplantae; Streptophyta; Magnoliopsida; Rosales; Rosaceae
Source: RefSeq, a predicted model, not a curated record
CCCAUCCCUUUGUUCGUUCUAUUUUAUAUUUUUUUUAGUGUUCUAGUUAGUUGUAUGCUCUGAACACGUUUCUUAAAUGCAUAUUAAUUACCAUUAAAUUCAUAAGUCUUAUUUAUUCCUCGUUCUCAUGCAUUUCUAAAUGGCUUGCGUCACCCUCGGGUGUCGGCCAGCACGUGACCAUCUCGAUAUCCUGAGGAUAUCGAGAUUGGGGCGUGUCACUUUGUUUGGUUGGACUUGUUGUGUAAUAUUGAUAGAGCAUUGAUAUGCCAAUCCUAUACAUAUUUACUCCUCUCAUUUAUGCCAAACCUACACAAGUACAUGUACUUGUGGUAAGGUGAGUCCGGCAAGGCACACAGUGACAUUGUAAACACAAUUAUCUUCUUUGCAUGGAUCAGAUUAUACCACAUCUUACUUGACUCUGGGGUUGUCCACAACCACACCUUAAACCUUCCUUUGAAAAGUUGGGAGUAGAGAUGGGCAACGGUUAUGGCAAGAGGGUAAUCGCGAUUAUUUACCCAUAACCGUUUAUGUUUAUACCCGCAUAACCAUUUACCCGUUGGAUAAUUACAUAAAUGGUUAUACCCAUAACCAUAACCGUUUAUAAACGGUUAUCCAUACCCAUAACCGUGUACUCAUUUACCCAUAACCAUUUACCUAUUUAACUCACCCCAUUCUUCUUCAUCUUUUCUAAAAGAAAACCUAGCUACUCAAUUUCUCUCAACCCUAGCCGUCCCUUGUCCAAUUUCUCUCAACCACGGCCUCCAUUUUAGGGUUGAGAGUCCAUAACCAUUUACCUAUUUAACUCACCCCAUUCUUCUUCAUCUUUUCUAAAAGAAAACCUAGCUACUCAAUUUCUCUCAACCCUAGCCGUCCCUCGUCCAAUUUCUCUCAACCACGGCCUCCAUUUUAGGGUUGAGAGGGAGAGACUCGUCGGGAUUUCGGGAGGGACGUGCGGGUGGGUGUCCUGUGGCUGAAGCAUCGGUCAGAGGGUUGUUGGGGGGAGGGGAGGAGGGGGACAGAGGGACUGACGGAUUGGAGAGAGAUGGGAGCUAUGGGUUUGGAUUGAGUGAGAGAGAGAUUUAGGUAGGUUAGGGCCUAUGCGAUUUUCUUCGAUUUUAGAGAGAGAGAUGGAAAGGGAGAUAGAAGAUAGGGAGGGAGAGGAGAAAGCAUGGUUGUGUGCAUUUUUUGGGAUUAAUUAAUGGGUUAGUACACAGGGUCAGUGAGGAGAGAAUGACAGAGGGAUGUAUGGGAGGGUAUGGGUUUUCAGUUUUUUUUCCACUGAUUCAACAGCUUUUGUAAAAUUGAAGUGGGAGUUUGACGGAUGUUGAUCAAGCCCCCAGUUUAUUAACGACGAGAACAACACUGACCCAAAAUUCGAAGAAAAAUUUAAACACAGAAAAGCGUAGGAUCCUGGAUUUGAAAGUGUUUUGCUCCUCCUCUUUGGUGCAUUUCUCUUUCAAGAUCUCCUGUGUCAAAGAUCGGAAUGGGUACAAUCUGAGCACUCCUAAAACUGAAAAGUUCUCCAAAGAUUGUGUGAAUGGAUGUGUCAGAUAUGGUUUAUCGUCCAUGCAAGGAUGGCGUACCACAAUGGAGGAUGCUGCACAAGUUUUCUACUGAAAGGAUUUUUGGAAUGGAAGGGGUAGGAAAGAAUACAUCACCAAUGAUUGAUUUAGUGCAGUUUGUGUGUCGGCUUCCCUGUGUAAUUGUGUUUCGGCACAUUACAGCUCCGAUACUAGCCGAUGAAGAAGAUAAAAUUUCAGUUCUUGCAUUAAUGGACCUAAUGGCCCCGAACUGUGAUAUUUCUGUACUGGACGGGCUAAAGUAUGUGUCGAGAUUUGGAAUUCCUUUAAAGAAGUAUUGGAAAACCUGAUGAAAUGCACCAAACAUCCCACAGUGAACUUUCCACAAGCAGUUAUAGCGGUUGCAAAGUUACACGAUCAAACUGUACUGUUUUGGAGAAAUCAACUCAACCUCCCAUACCCUGAAAAAAAGAGAAAGAAAAACAGAUAGAAAAGAGACGUGCUGAACUCCUUCAUUUUAGGAGAAAGAAAAACCCGUGGCGGAAGAUGUUCAGUAACUCCUCCAUAAGGCCAAAUCCUCCCUGACCCCAUUUAUCCCCCCAGUUGCACAUCACUAUGUUGUAGUGUUUGACUUUCCUGUCUUCAUUUAACUCCUCACCCUCUCCACUGUCUUCCUCAGCGUCUUCAUCGCUUUCCUCGCAGUCUUCGCUGAUUUCAUUAGAUUUGCCUUCAAUAAUGCUUUCUUCGGUUUCUCCACCAUCACUAUAUCCCCAUCCUACUAAUACCAUUGCAUGCAAUUCUAAGUUCCCACCUUGGCGAUUCAUUUCAUAGGUAUAAAUUCCUUGUAAAAAAGAUACAAGUCAAUAUUUAAUCAACAAACAUAACUUACACAACAAUUUACUACUUACAUCUUUGUGAUCAUACACAGCGUCACUCAAGGAAGCAUCGCAAAUAAGGGGAAACUGUCGGAGCAUAAAUUCAAUGGUGGCCGUAUGGUUGCCAAUACUUUUGUAAUUGGCAAUCCUAUACUUGUAAAGCUUUUCCUACAUAAUAAUACUAGUCUCUCAACACGCACUCACACGCGUGUGAGAAGUCUUUUUUUUUUUAGGAGUAGGAUUCUCUCGCCUUCUAUUUUCAUCUGCAAUUGAGUAGGUGUAGAUGUGAAAGGAGGGGAGUGAAGGGGAUGAGAAUAGGAGGGGAGAUAAUCCUACCCCUUAAAAAAAGGCUUCUCUCAUGCGCGUGAGCGCAUGCGGAGAGGCUAGUAUUAUUAUGUAGGAAAAACUUUACAAGUAUAUGACUGCUGAUUACAAAAGUAUUGGCAACCAUACGUUCACCAUUGAAUUUAUGCUCAGACAGUUUCCCCUUAUUUGCGAUGCUUCCUUGAGUGACGCUGUGUAUGAUUACAAAGAUGUAAGUAGUAAAUUGUUAUGUAAGUUGUGUUUGUUGAGUAAAUAUUGACUUAUAUUUUUUUUACAAGGAAUUUAUACCUAUGAAAUGAAUCGCCAAGGUGGGAACUUAGAAUUGCAUGCAAUGGUAUUAGUAGGAUGGGGAUAUAGUGAUGGUGGAGAAACCGAAGAAAGCAUUAUUGGAAGCAAAUCUAAUGAAACUAGCAAAGACCUCGAGGAAAGCAAUGAAGAAGCUGAGGAAGACAGUGGAGAGGGUGAGGAGUUAAAUGAAGACAGGAAAGUCAAACACUACUACAUAGUGAUGUGCAACUGGGGGAAUAAAUGGGGUCAGGGAGGAUUUGGCCUUAUGGAGGAGUUACUGAACAUCUUCCGCCACGGGUUUCUCUUUCUCCUAAAAUGAAGGAGUUCAGCACGUCUCUUUUCUAUCUUUUUCUUUUUUUUUCAGAGUAUGAGAGGUUGAGUUGGUUUCUCCAAAACAAUACGGUUUGAUCGUGUAACUUUGCAACUGCUAUAACUGCUUGUGGAAAGUUCACUGUGUAUAGAUAUGAGUAACCAACGGGUUAGAAUCAAUCUAAAAGUCCGGGCGCCUUUCAUGUUUUUGUAUUACAAUUUUAACCCUAUUUUAUUUGUGUAUUACAAUUAUAGUCCUUCUAUAUAGGAAUGGUUUUGUGUGUUUUUUUUUUAAUGAAAUGAGGACAUAAUUGGAAUAUUGAAAACUUCACCGAUUUGGGCUACUCCAUAUAUAUAGAUUUUGAUCCAUAAUAAUGUAUAUAUUAACAUAAUAAGACUAACCUGUGAGAUGUUUGGUGCAUUUUGUCAGGUUUUCCAAUACUUCUUUAAAGGAAUUCCAAAUCUCGACACAUAUUUUAGCCCGUCCAGUACAGAAAUAUCACAGUCCGGGGCCAUUAGGUCCAUUAAUGCAAGAACUGAAAUUUUGUCUUCUUCAUCGGCUAGCAUCGGAGCUGUAAUGUGCCGAAACACAAUUACACAGGGAGGCCGACACACAAAUUGCUGAUGAAAUAAACAAAAAGGAUAAAAUCAUUUGCAAACAAAUGAAAUUAAAGUGACAUCACAACAUACUGCAUAUCUACUAACAAUGCCAAACAAAAUGUACUCGUAUAUUAGCUCUUGUGUUUAUAUGGUUCUGAGCCUUCUAGUUAAUUAACAUUAAUUUUUGGUUCCAAUUGAAAAGCGAUUAAAUGAUUAUUUAUCUUAUAGUUGUUUGA